Molecule: non-coding RNA, 115 nt
Organism: Acanthosepion pharaonis
Lineage: Eukaryota; Metazoa; Mollusca; Cephalopoda; Sepiida; Sepiidae
Source: the annotation of a GenBank genome assembly
UUACGGUCAUAUCAUUUUCAAACAGCAGUUCUCUGUACGAUCAGCGAGGUUAAGCAACGUCGAGCCUAGUCAGUACCUAGGUGGAUGCCCACUUGGGAAUACCAGGUGCUGUAAG